CUGGGUAGCUUAACUGGCAGAGCGCCGCAGCUGAAUCGCGGAGGUUGGGAGUUCGACUCUCCUCCUGG
RNAcentral lists this transfer RNA (68 nucleotides) under Acanthamoeba castellanii str. Neff. Lineage: Eukaryota; Discosea; Longamoebia; Acanthamoebidae. The record is from Rfam by way of RNAcentral.